This 602-nucleotide small RNA is filed under the name Pan troglodytes (chimpanzee). RNAcentral describes it as "retained intron". Lineage: Eukaryota; Metazoa; Chordata; Mammalia; Primates; Hominidae. The record is from RNAcentral.
GUCGCUCGCGCUGGAAGAAGCGGAAGAAGAUGGCGCUCACCAGCUUUUUACCUGCACCUACUCAGCUAUCUCAGGACCAGCUUGAGGCUGAAGAAAAGGCAAGAUCCCAGAGAUCGCGGCAGACCUCACUGGUCUCCUCCCGAAGAGAACCUCCCCCGUACGGAUACCGGAAAGGCUGGAUACCUCGGUUAUUAGAGGAUUUUGGAGAUGGAGGUGCUUUUCCAGAGAUCCAUGUGGCCCAGUAUCCACUGGAUAUGGGACGAAAGAAAAAAAUGUCGAAUGCGCUGGCCAUUCAGGUGGAUUCUGAAGGAAAAAUUAAAUAUGAUGCAAUUGCUCGACAAGGACAGUCAAAAGACAAGGUCAUUUAUAGCAAAUACACUGACCUGGUUCCAAAGGAGGUUAUGAAUGCAGAUGAUCCAGACCUGCAAAGGCCUGAUGAAGAAGCUAUUAAAGAGAUAACAGAAAAGACAAGAGUAGCCUUAGAAAAAUCUGUAUCACAGAAGGUCGCCGCAGCCAUGCCAGUUCGAGCAGCUGACAAACUGGCUCCUGCUCAGUAUAUCCGGUAUGAAUCAUGCCUAGAAGACUUAGUUUCAUUCUGAACU